This 450-nucleotide long non-coding RNA is filed under the name Phascolarctos cinereus (koala). RNAcentral's name for it is "lncRNA (ENSPCIG00000023979.2)". The record is from RNAcentral. Lineage: Eukaryota; Metazoa; Chordata; Mammalia; Diprotodontia; Phascolarctidae.
UUUUUAAACUUCCCUUCCCCCAAUAAUGCAGCUCGUAUAAUGGUAAAUGCAGCAGCCUGGAUCCAUGCAGAGCCCCAGCCUGCUGGCAGCAGAGUAAUAAACUGGUAGGUGGCUGCAGUAGAAGAAGGACUUCUUCAGACUGGUGAUUGUGACCUGAAAAUUCUGCAGAGGGGGAAGUGGAACAUGAAAUGGACGAUGGAAACAAAGGGGAAAGAGGAUGGAAGAGAGAUUAAGGCUCCUGGGAUUUAUACUCUGGGUGUUUUCUUUCAGGUUUUUGAAGUAGAAAGUGAUCAUCCUCCCUUGUUUACUCUGUGGUCAUUUUGGAUGAAGAUAUAUAUUCGACCAGAUAGACCUUAGGUGGGGUAAAACGCAGAAGAAAGAAGCAACAGUCUCAACUAAUUUGACUGUAAUCAUAUUUUCAUAAUAAAAUACUAUGAAACUAGAACCUCA